AACUGCGAAUGGCUCAUUAAAUCAGUUAUCGUUUAUUUGAUAGUACCUUACUACUUGGAUACCCGUGGUAAUUCUAGAGCUAAUACAUGCUGAAAACCCCGACUCCGGGAGGGGUGUAUUUAUUAGAUAAAAAACCAAUGCCCUCCGGGGCUCCUUGGUGAUUCAUGAUAACUUCUCGAAUCGCAUGGCCUUGCGCCGGCGAUGGUUCAUUCAAAUUUCUGCCCUAUCAACUUUCGAUGGUAGGAUAGUGGCCUACCAUGGUGGCAACGGGUAACGGGGAAUUAGGGUUCUAUUCCGGAGAGGGAGCCUGAGAAACGGCUACCACAUCCAAGGAAGGCAGCAGGCGCGCAAAUUACCCAAUCCCGACACGGGGAGGUAGUGACAAUAAAUACUGAUACAGGGCUCUUUCGGGUCUUGUAAUUGGAAUGAGUACAAUCUAAAUACCUUAACGAGGAACAAUUGGAGGGCAAGUCUGGUGCCAGCAGCCGCGGUAAUUCCAGCUCCAAUAGCGUAUAUUAAAGUUGUUGCAGUUAAAAAGCUCGUAGUUGAACCUUGGGUCUGGCUGGCCGGUCCGCCUCACCGCGUGCACUGGUCCGGCCGGACCUUUCCUUCUGGGGAACCCCAUGGCCUUCACUGGCCGUGGCGGGGAACCAGGACUUUUACUUUGAAAAAAUUAGAGUGUUCAAAGCAGGCCUUUGCUCGGAUACAUUAGCAUGGAAUAAUAGAAUAGGACGUCGCGGUUCUAUUUUGUUGGUUUCUAGGACCGCCGUAAUGAUUAAUAGGGAUGGUCGGGGGCGUCAGUAUUCGGCUGUCA
Molecule: ribosomal RNA, 814 nt
Filed under: Arachnomyces nodosetosus
Lineage: Eukaryota; Fungi; Ascomycota; Eurotiomycetes; Onygenales; Arachnomycetaceae
Description: SSU rRNA
Rfam family: Eukaryotic small subunit ribosomal RNA
Source: RNAcentral